ACUCCUACGGGAGGCAGCAGUAGGGAAUCUUCCACAAUGGGCGCAAGCCUGAUGGAGUAACACCGCGUGAGUGAAGAAGGGUUUCGGCUCGUAAAGCUCUGUUGUUAAAGAAGAACACGUAUGAGAGUAACUGUUCAUACGUUGACGGUAUUUAACCAGAAAGUCACGGCUAACUACGUGCCAGCAGCCGCGGUAAUACGUAGGUGGCAAGCGUUAUCCGGAUUUAUUGGGGCGUAAAGAGAGUGCAGGCGGUUUUCUAAGUCUGAUGUGAAAGCCUUCGGCUUAACCGGAGAAGUGCAUCGGAAACUGGAUAACUUGAGUGCAGAAGAGGGUAGUGGAACUCCAUGUGUAGCGGUGGAAUGCGUAGAUAUAUGGAAGAACACCAGUGGCGAAGGCGGCUACCUGGUCUGCAACUGACGCUGAGACUCGAAAGCAUGGGUAGCGAACAGGAUUAGAUACCCUGGUAGGAUAGCG
This 474-nucleotide ribosomal RNA is filed under the name uncultured bacterium. RNAcentral describes it as "bacterial SSU rRNA". It matches the Rfam family "Bacterial small subunit ribosomal RNA", at positions 335 to 801 of the family's 1533-position model. The record is from RNAcentral.